RNAcentral lists this transfer RNA (72 nucleotides) under Nanobdellota archaeon. RNAcentral describes it as "tRNA-Thr". It matches the Rfam family "tRNA". From Rfam's summary of the family: Transfer RNA (tRNA) molecules are approximately 80 nucleotides in length. The record is from RNAcentral. Lineage: Archaea; Nanobdellati; Nanobdellota.
GCCCCAGUGGCCUAGCGGUAGGGCGCGUCCUUGGUAAGGACGAGGUCCCGCGUUCAAAUCGCGGCUGGGGCU